This 519-nucleotide ribosomal RNA is filed under the name uncultured bacterium. RNAcentral describes it as "partial 16S ribosomal RNA". It matches the Rfam family "Bacterial small subunit ribosomal RNA", at positions 28 to 507 of the family's 1533-position model. The record is from RNAcentral.
GACGAACGCUGGCGGCGUGCCUAAUACAUGCAAGUCGAGCGAGUCUGCCUUGAAGAUCGGAGUGCUUGCACUCUGUGAAACAAGAUACAGGCUAGCGGCGGACGGGUGAGUAACACGUGGGUAACCUGCCCAAGAGAUCGGGAUAACACCUGGAAACAGAUGCUAAUACCGGAUAACAACAGAUGAUGCCUAUCAACUGUUUAAAAGAUGGUUCUGCUAUCACUCUUGGAUGGACCUGCGGUGCAUUAGCUAGUUGGUAGGGUAACGGCCUACCAAGGCGAGGAUGCAUAGCCGAGUUGAGAGACUGAUCGGCCACAUUGGGACGGAGACACGGCCCAAACUCCUACGGGAGGCAGCAGUAGGGAAUCUUCCACAAUGGACGCAAGUCUGAUGGAGCAACGCCGCGUGAGUGGAGAAGGGUUUCGGCUCGUAAAGCUCUGUUGUUGGUGAAGAAGGACAGGGGUAGUAACUGACCUUUGUUUGACGGUAAUCAAUGAGAAAGUCACGGCUAACUACGUG